Ochotona curzoniae (black-lipped pika) is the source of this 103-nucleotide small nuclear RNA. The record is from RefSeq and is a predicted model, not a curated record. Lineage: Eukaryota; Metazoa; Chordata; Mammalia; Lagomorpha; Ochotonidae.
GUGCUUUGGCAGUGCAUACACUAAAAUUGGACCGAUACAGAGAAGACUAACAUGGUACCUGCGCAAGGAUGACACACACAUUUGUGAAGCAUUCCUUAUUAAA